CCUACGGGGUGCUGCAGUAGGGAAUAUUGCUCAAUGGGGGAAACCCUGAAGCAGCAACGCCGCGUGGAGGAUGAAGGUUUUCGGAUUGUAAACUUCUUUGACAGGGGAAGAGCAGAAGACGGUACCCUGAAAACAAGCCACGGCUAACUACGUGCCAGCAGCCGCGGUAAUACGUAGGUGGCAAGCGUUGUCCGGAUUUACUGGGUGUAAAGGGCGUGUAGCCGGGAAGGCAAGUCAGAUGUGAAAUCCAGAGGCUCAACCUCCGAAUUGCAUUUGAAACUGUUUUUCUUGAGUACUGGAGAGGCAGACGGAAUUCCUUGUGUAGCGGUGAAAUGCGUAGAUAUAAGGAGGAACACCAGUGGCGAAGGCGGUCUGCUGGACAGCAACUGACGGUGAGGCGCGAAAGCGUGGGGAGCAAACAGGAUUAGAUACCCGGGUAGUC
Molecule: ribosomal RNA, 442 nt
Filed under: uncultured bacterium
Lineage: Bacteria
Description: partial 16S ribosomal RNA
Rfam family: Bacterial small subunit ribosomal RNA
Source: RNAcentral